AAUUUUAAUAUUGCAUAUUAUUUUAAGAAAAUUUUAUGGUUUAUAAAAUAUAGAAUUAAAAGGUAGAAAAAUUAAAAAUUUUAUUGUUAUAUAAUAAAAAGUAUAAUUUUUAGAGUUGAAAAGUCGACUUUUAGGAUAUCUGUUUAUUUAAAUUUUAUUAGAAAUUUAUAAAUUAAAUUUGAAUUGUUUUGUUUAUAAGAAUAAAAGUUAAAGUAUUUUUAUUUUUAGUUUUAUAACUAUUUAUAUUUUAAUAAUUGAAUGUGAUUAAAAUUGAUAAUUUUAUUAAGAUUAUAAUAAAUGUAUUAUUUAAAAAUUAGUAAUUGGAAUUAAUUUAAUUCUUAUAUUAAAUAUAAUAAAAUAACUAAAUGAUUAAUCAAAUGUUUAUUAAAAACUUAGACUUUUAAAUAAAGUUUGCUUCUGCUCGAUGAAUUAUUUUAAAUGGCAGUCUUAGCGUGAGGACAUUAAGGUAGCAAAAUAAUUUGUGCUUUUAUUGGGUUCCAGUAUGAAUGAAGUUAUUGGUUAAUUAUUUUUUUAUUUUUUAAAUGAAUUUGUGAUUAAUAUAAAAAAAUAUUAGUAUAAUAAUACAAAGAUAAGUCUUCGGAAAUUCAUUUUUAUAAAUAAUAAUUUUUUUAUUAUUUGUAAAAAUUUUCUAGGGCAGAAUAUUAUAUAAUUUUAAAAAUCUAUAAUUAAAAUUAAGAAUUACUCCGGAGUUAACAGAAAAUCAUACCUAAUCUAGUUCUUAUAGUAGGGUAAGUUUUACAUCGAUGUUGUAUUUAAGUUGAUUAAAAAAAGGAGAAAUUUUAAAUUUUAAGACUGUUCUUCUUUAAAUUAAUUUAACGUGAUAUUAGUUUAAUUCAUCGUGAGAUAGAAUUGUUUAUCUUGAUUAUUAUUUUUUAUAAAUUUUAAUAGUACGAAAGGAAAAUUAAAAAAAGUUAGUAACUUUAUAAGAGUUUACUCUU
RNAcentral lists this ribosomal RNA (959 nucleotides) under Strongylus equinus. RNAcentral's name for it is "large subunit ribosomal RNA". Lineage: Eukaryota; Metazoa; Nematoda; Chromadorea; Rhabditida; Strongylidae. The record is from RNAcentral.